Molecule: ribosomal RNA, 764 nt
Filed under: Leifsonia sp.
Lineage: Bacteria; Bacillati; Actinomycetota; Actinomycetes; Micrococcales; Microbacteriaceae
Description: bacterial SSU rRNA
Rfam family: Bacterial small subunit ribosomal RNA
Source: RNAcentral
CUGGCUCAGGACGAACGCUGGCGGCGUGCUUAACACAUGCAAGUCGAACGAUGAACCAGGAGCUUGCUCUUGGGGAUUAGUGGCGAACGGGUGAGUAACACGUGAGUAACCUGCCCUUGACUCUGGGAUAACUUUUGGAAACAGAAGCUAAUACCGGAUAUGACGCACGGAGGCAUCUCCUGUGCGUGGAAAGAAUUUCGGUCAAGGAUGGACUCGCGGCCUAUCAGGUAGUUGGUGAGGUAAAGGCUCACCAAGCCUACGACGGGUAGCCGGCCUGAGAGGGUGACCGGCCACACUGGGACUGAGACACGGCCCAGACUCCUACGGGAGGCAGCAGUGGGGAAUAUUGCACAAUGGGCGAAAGCCUGAUGCAGCAACGCCGCGUGAGGGACGACGGCCUUCGGGUUGUAAACCUCUUUUAGUAGGGAAGAAGCGAAAGUGACGGUACCUGCAGAAAAAGCACCGGCUAACUACGUGCCAGCAGCCGCGGUAAUACGUAGGGUGCAAGCGUUGUCCGGAAUUAUUGGGCGUAAAGAGCUCGUAGGCGGUUUGUCGCGUCUGCUGUGAAAUCCCGAGGCUCAACCUCGGGCCUGCAGUGGGUACGGGCAGACUAGAGUGCGGUAGGGGAGAUUGGAAUUCCUGGUGUAGCGGUGGAAUGCGCAGAUAUCAGGAGGAACACCGAUGGCGAAGGCAGAUCUCUGGGCCGUAACUGACGCUGAGGAGCGAAAGCGUGGGGAGCGAACAGGAUUAGAUACCCGGGGUAG